This 60-nucleotide transfer RNA is filed under the name Escherichia coli. RNAcentral's name for it is "tRNA-Val". It matches the Rfam family "tRNA", at positions 16 to 71 of the family's 71-position model. Rfam says of the family: Transfer RNA (tRNA) molecules are approximately 80 nucleotides in length. Their secondary structure includes four short double-helical elements and three loops (D, anti-codon, and T loops). Lineage: Bacteria; Pseudomonadati; Pseudomonadota; Gammaproteobacteria; Enterobacterales; Enterobacteriaceae. The record is from RNAcentral. RNAcentral also lists the same sequence under 1 other name.
UGGGAGAGCACCUCCCUUACAAGGAGGGGGUCGGCGGUUCGAUCCCGUCAUCACCCACCA